This is a long non-coding RNA of Mytilus californianus (California mussel), 443 nucleotides long. RefSeq lists it as uncharacterized. The record is from RefSeq and is a predicted model, not a curated record. The transcript has 3 exons. Lineage: Eukaryota; Metazoa; Mollusca; Bivalvia; Mytilida; Mytilidae.
ACUGUGUCCUUCAUGACCAUUUUGACAGUCAUAAUGGUUUGGUACAGCGUAUCUUUGUAUGCCCUUUUAUAUCCAAAUUCUGAGAUAAGCUGGACAGAGAUCGAACACAUUAUGUCAAAUGGUUAUUGGGUGUUAUUUGGAGAGUUGAACUUAGAUGCUGAAACAUUAACUGAACCGGAUUGCACAUUUAACAGAACAAUAUAUGAAAGAGGUGUUUUACAGCGAUGUCCUACAACACUUGGUUUACAUCUUGCACCUUAUCUAAAAGCAUUCUACGGAUUAAUAACAGUAAUAAUACUGAUGAAUCUACUGAUAGCUUUGUAUAGUGAUGCAUUUAAUGUAGUACAGCAAGAAUCGGAAGCAUAUUGGAGGAAGAUACAGCUUAAUUUUCUUGAGGAAUACUGCAUCAAAACUGCAUUCCCAAUACAUUUACAGCUACUAGC